GUGGGGAAUCUUCCGCAAUGGACGAAAGUCUGACGGAGCAACGCCGCGUGAGUGAAGAAGGUUUUCGGAUCGUAAAGCUCUUUCGUUAGGGACGAACGUGCUCUUUGUGAAUAAUGAGGAUUAAUGACGGUACCUAAAUAAGAAGCCACGGCUAACUACGUGCCAGCAGCCGCGGUAAUACGUAGGUGGCAAGCGUUGUCCGGAAUUAUUGGGCGUAAAGCGCGCGCAGGCGGGAUAUCAAGUCUGUCUUAAAAGUGCGAGGCUCAACCUCGUGAGGGGACAGAAACUGGUAUUCUUGAGUGUCGGAGAGGAAAGUGGAAUUCCAAGUGUAGCGGUGAAAUGCGUAGAGAUUUGGAAGAACACCAGUGGCGAAGGCGACUUUCUGGACGAUGUCUGACGCUGAGGCGCGAAAGCUAGGGGAGCGAACGGGAUUAGAUACCCUAGUAGUCC
RNAcentral lists this ribosomal RNA (450 nucleotides) under uncultured bacterium. RNAcentral's name for it is "partial 16S ribosomal RNA". It matches the Rfam family "Bacterial small subunit ribosomal RNA", at positions 354 to 796 of the family's 1533-position model. The record is from RNAcentral.